UGGCUCAGGACGAACGCUGGCGGCGUGCCUAACACAUGCAAGUCGAACGGACGAGGGGAGCUUGCUCCCCAAGUUAGUGGCGGACGGGUGAGUAACACGUGAGCAACCUGCCCUUCGGAGGGGGACAACAGCUGGAAACGGCUGCUAAUACCGCAUGACACAGCGGGGAGGCAUCUCUCUGCUGUCAAAGAUUUAUCGCCGAAGGAUGGGCUCGCGUCUGAUUAGAUAGUUGGUGAGGUAACGGCCCACCAAGUCUACGAUCAGUAGCCGGACUGAGAGGUUGAACGGCCACAUUGGGACUGAGAUACGGCCCAGACUCCUACGGGAGGCAGCAGUGGGGAAUAUUGGGCAAUGGGGGGCAACCCUGACCCAGCAACGCCGCGUGAAGGAAGAAGGCUUUCGGGUUGUAAACUUCUUUGACGAGGGACGAUAGUGACGGUACCUCGAAAACAAGCCACGGCUAACUACGUGCCAGCCGCCGC
This 482-nucleotide ribosomal RNA is filed under the name uncultured bacterium. RNAcentral describes it as "bacterial SSU rRNA". It matches the Rfam family "Bacterial small subunit ribosomal RNA", at positions 20 to 518 of the family's 1533-position model. The record is from RNAcentral.